CCACGAGCGCGUCUUCAUCCCGACGCUUCGAGAGGAAGGAGGGCGCCGCCAUUUUGUCGGCAGGAGAAGGAAGCAGCGCCCGCGGUUUCUUCCCGCAUUUCGCUUUUCCCGGGAGACUGUCGCCGGUUCUUGAGCCUCCUUUGCUGGCCUCGCGCCACCGCAACAUCACGGCGGAGAUGUCGGAGUACAUCCGGGUUACUGAAGAUGAGAAUGAGGAACCGAUUGAGAUCCCGUCAGAAGAUGAUGGAACUGUGUUGCUCUCCACAGUGACUGCUCAGUUCCCAGGAGCAUGUGGCCUGCGCUACAGAAACCCUGUGUCCCAAUGUAUGAGAGGCGUCCGAUUAGUGGAAGGAAUUCUUCACGCGCCAGAUAAUGGCUGGGGAAAUCUAGUAUAUGUUGUUAAUUAUCCCAAAGACAACAAGAGGAAAAUGGAUGAAACAGAUGCCUCAUCAGCUGUCAAAGUGAAACGAGCCGUGCAGAAAACCUCUGAUCUGAUAGUAUUGGGUCUUCCAUGGAAGACAACAGAACAAGAUCUGAAGGAAUAUUUUAGCACAUUUGGAGAGGUUCUCAUGGUGCAGGUUAAGAAAGACAUCAAAACUGGCCACUCAAAGGGGUUUGGUUUUGUAAGGUUUACGGAUUAUGAAACCCAGGUGAAGGUCAUGUCCCAGCGCCACAUGAUAGACGGAAGAUGGUGUGACUGCAAACUCCCAAAUUCUAAGCAAAGUCCAGAUGAACCUAUGCGUAGCAGGAAGGUGUUUGUUGGGCGAUGCACCGAAGACAUGACUGCAGAUGAGCUCCGUCAGUUUUUUUCGCAGUAUGGAGAAGUGGUCGAUGUCUUCAUCCCCAAACCUUUCAGAGCUUUUGCCUUUGUUACGUUUGCUGAUGAUCAGGUUGCCCAGUCCCUUUGUGGCGAGGACUUGAUCAUAAAAGGAAUCAGCGUCCAUAUAUCCAAUGCUGAACCUAAGCAUAAUAGCAGUAGACAACUAGAAAGAGGUGGAAGAUUUGGUGGUAAUCCAGGAGGCUUUGGGAAUCAGGGUGGAUUUCCUAACCGGGGGGGAGGCGGUGGCGGUGGGGGGCUGGGAAACAACCAGGGCAGUAAUAUGGGGGGCGGGAUGAACUUUGGAGCUUUUAGCAUCAACCCAGCCAUGAUGGCAGCCGCUCAAGCAGCGCUCCAGAGCAGUUGGGGGAUGAUGGGCAUGCUAGCUAGCCAGCAAAACCAGUCUGGACCGUCGGGGAACAACCAGCCGCAAGGCAACAUGCAGAGGGAGCAGAAUCAGGGGUUCAGUUCAGGGAGCAAUUCCUACGGAGGCUCAAACUCCGGCGCAGCCAUAGGGUGGGGCUCAUCAAACACAGGCUCCAGCAGCGGGUUUAAUGGGGGUUUUGGCUCAAGCAUGGAUUCCAAAUCAUCUGGCUGGGGCAUGUAGGCACCCUAAUACUGAUUCUGUGCUGGGAAAUCAGAUUUUUCUUUCCCCCCCCCCCCCCAGAGCUCCCGGUAAGUAUAUUAUAAGAUGCAUAUACUAAAAAAGGGGGGAAGAGGGGGAAUCCAAACCAGUUUGUUCAGCGUGUAGUAUAUUUCAACAGUAUUUUUGACACAUUUUUUUUCUUUUGUAAGGAGGGGGAAAAAAGAGAAAAGAUUAAAUGGAAUUUUAUAGGUUUUGUUACCAUGAGUUGGAAUACAUGAGUUUUGGGGGGGUAUGGAGUGGUUGGGAGUGGACUGCUGUUUGCCUGAAUGGUAAACGGACGCGCUGCAAUUUGAUAGGAAUUUGUAAAAAAGAGCAAAAGAAAAAAAUCCUAAAUUCCUCGUUUUUCCUAGUCAGCUGAGAUGUUUUUGUUUUUUGCAUGUUUCAAGAAUGGAAGCUGUUUUUCAGAAACCGCGUCCUGUCCUUGUUAGCUCUUUUUUCUUUUCUUUUUUAAACUUUAAUUUGAUCCCCCGCCAUAAGAAUUUCUCUCUCUCUUUCUCUCCCUUCCCGUCCCCCCCAAAUGUCCUGUGUGGAGAAUGCAAUGUUGGUGUCGGCUUUUUUUCCUUUUAACACUGUCUCCCCUCCUCAUACUAAAGUACGGUAUGAAGACCUCAUUUAAUCCUUGCAGUUCAUCUCAUUUCAAAAACAAAAAAAUGUGUUUGGAAGAAGCACUUCAUUCUGAGAGAGAAAAAAAGCAGUGCAGUCAAAACAAAACACGCGCUCAAAACAAAAAACUAUCCUGCCUUAGGAAUCCUCCUGUCUCCAUGCUUUCCUCCUCAUCCAAGGCUCCCUUCAUCGCGCUGCACAUGCUCCGCGUCUUAAGACGGUGGGUGUCCCAUUUUUAUCCGCUACUCUUUUUUAUUUCAUGGAGAGUCGUACCCGACGCUGUGAACGCAAGGCUGUGAGAUGGAAACCGGAAGGCUUGUUUGAACUUUUGGAAACCUUGUGUGGGAUUGGAUUGGUGGUGCCGAGGAAUGAGAGGGCGUGGUAUGUGCGAGCAAAAGGCGGAGGCGCAUGCAGAGAGAGACUUGGUGGUGCAUAAUGGGAUCUUUUCCUUUUAAAUAAAAGCGUGUGUUUUUUCCCCCCCGAUGUCCCUGGAUCCUGUGGCUUUGGUGAGAGAGUGUGCGGAGAGCAAUGGGAGCGGACGUACGAGUGUUUUUUUCUUUCUUGGCAUUCAGAAGGACAUCCCAAUCUGGAAGAACUUAAAACGGGGGGGAGGGCUUUUUACUUAGUUAAUUAAUUAGUUGAAUGUGUUAAGUGAAAUGAAUAUCUGUAUCUUCAUUUUUUUUCCUUCUUCUUUAUGUCAAUUUCUGCUGUGAAUGCUGUAUGGUGUGCGUUCCUUUCUGUUUAAUGAUCCUGUAAGUGUGGUAAUGUGAACUGAAGGUGGGGCUUUUCGUGGACGAGAACCUCCGGCUCGCCGUGUGCUUUGCGGACCUUGUCGCAAAGGACACUCCUGAGCCCGGAUGUUCCCUGACGGGUGGAAGUUUCUUUGUUUGUAAGAUAUCCAUAUGAAUGCUGUUUGCUGCAGUUCUGUGUUUGGGUGCUUUUUAUAAGAUUUGUCAAUGUAGGAAAUUCUUAAAUAAAACUGAUUUAAGUAAUAUGUGUGUGUGUUUGACAGCUGCCCCCCCCCCCAAAAAAAAAGUGCAAUGAGUUCAUAGCUAUUAACUUUAAAACAAUGCAUCUUGGGAUAAAACUGCUGUAAAAAAAGAAACCCUUCAUUUUGUUUUAAGUUUGCCUCUUUCAUUGAUUGUAGUUGCUAUUCUCUAGCUCAGCUCCAGUCCCAUCUUCAUAGCGUUUUUGUGAUACACAUCUGAAACCCGGUUCUGCCAUCGGAGCAUUUGCACUAAUACCUGCUACUGCUACUGAGUAACACUUAAUAUGGUAUUCUCGGAUCUCCAAAGACUAAACUGUGUCAUCCUGGGAAGGAGCAUGAGGAAAACCCAUUAAGGAGGGAAAGACAGAACGGCUGCACAAUGAUGCCUUUUGACUGGUAGCGCUAGGAUCCGGCUAUUUGGAAGCACCCCAAGUCUCAUGAGAACGUAAGAAGAGCUCUGCUGGACCAGACGGAAGGCCUGUCUCACCCAGCCUCCUCCUGUUUCCCACAGUGGCCAAACGGAAGCCCAUGAGCAGGACAUCCGACGUAGAUUUGCCCACAAAACUCCACCAAGGCCCACCUUUGUUUUGUAAAGAAAGAAAAAAAGCCUUCUUCUACCUGUUGUGUUGUAUCUGAGCUUCCAUCCAGUGUGGACUCCAGAAAGGUCCGUGGCGAACUGAAUAUCCACAAUGUGGCUGCGUGUUUCGAUUUUUGGAGGAAGCGUUUCCCCGCAGAACGGGCCGAACUCUUGCUUGGGUGUUUUUAUCUGGAACAAGGAAAGGAAAACACAAACCAAACCGCACUACUUAACUUAGGCCUGUCUGUUUUCGACGUCCAUGUGUUGGCAACCUGUGCCUGUCUGUUCCCGCAUGAUGAAGAUGCUCUCGCUUUCUCUCCUCCCUCUCCCGCCAUCUUUGUUUGCCCUUUUCUGCUUCCAUGUGGAUUUUUUAAAAUAAAAUUAAAUUUAAAAAAACAA
Sceloporus undulatus (fence lizard) is the source of this 4030-nucleotide RNA transcript. It is a transcript of the gene named TAR DNA binding protein, with no coding region annotated. Lineage: Eukaryota; Metazoa; Chordata; Lepidosauria; Squamata; Phrynosomatidae. The transcript has 8 exons. The record is from RefSeq and is a predicted model, not a curated record.